This is a non-coding RNA of Mesocricetus auratus (golden hamster), 510 nucleotides long. NCBI's taxonomy places the organism in Eukaryota, Metazoa, Chordata, Mammalia, Rodentia, Cricetidae. The record is from the annotation of a RefSeq genome assembly.
AUGCAUUCCUUAAGUGUUUUGAUAGUGGUGCUCUGGCUUCAACUGUGGGGCGUGAGCAGCCAGCAGAAGUUGCAGCAGAACCCAGAAUCCCUCAGUGUCCAAGAGGGAGACAUGGCCUCUCUCAACUGCACUUCCAGCGAUCAAAAUUCUCAGUAUUUCUGGUGGUACAGACAGUAUCCUGGGAAAAGCCCCAAGGCUCUGAUGACCAUCAUCUCCAAUGGUAAAAAGGAAGAAGGCAGAUUCACCAUUCAUCUCAAUAAAGCCAGCCUGCAUGUUUCCUUGAACAUCAGAGACUCUCAGCCCAGUGACUCAGCUGUCUACCUGUGUGCAGUGAGCACACAUUGCUGCCCAGGAACCUGCAGCCUGCACCUAAACCCACUUGGCCCCAGGAAGCGCUCAGAUAGAGCUCAGGCCACAGGCUGGGGAAACUUUCUUUUCUAUAGGCAAUGGGGAAUAAAAGCAGGAGUAGAGAGGGUUUGCUUGAUUAGGAAAGUAAUUGACAUUUCCUAA